Molecule: ribosomal RNA, 601 nt
Filed under: uncultured Atheliaceae
Lineage: Eukaryota; Fungi; Basidiomycota; Agaricomycetes; Atheliales; Atheliaceae
Description: eukaryotic LSU rRNA
Rfam family: Eukaryotic large subunit ribosomal RNA
Source: RNAcentral
GAGGAAAAGAAACUAACAAGGAUUCCCCUAGUAACUGCGAGUGAAGCGGGAAAAGCUCAAAUUUAAAAUCUGACGGUCUCGCGGCCGUCCGAGUUGUAAUCUGGAGAAGCGUUUAUCCGCGUCGGACCGUGUACAAGUCUUCUGGAAGGGAGCGUCAUAGAGGGUGAGAAUCCCGUCUUUGACACGGACAACCGAUGCUUUUGUGAUGCGCUCUCGAAGAGUCGAGUUGUUUGGGAAUGCAGCUCAAAAUGGGUGGUAAAUUCCAUCUAAAGCUAAAUAUUGGCGAGAGACCGAUAGCGAACAAGUACCGUGAGGGAAAGAUGAAAAGCACUUUGGAAAGAGAGUUAAACAGUACGUGAAAUUGUUGAAAGGGAAACGUUUGAAGUCAGUCGCGUCGGCCGAGACUCAACCUCGCUUCUUGCUUGGUGCACUUCUCGGUUGACGGGUCAGCAUCAAUUUUGACCGUCGGAUAAAGGUUGAGGGAAUGUGGCAUCCUUCGGGAUGUGUUAUAGACCUCGAUUCGGAUACGACGAUUGGGAUUGAGGAACUUCGGCGCUUUGCGUCCAGGAUGCUGGCAUAAUGGCUUUAAGCGACCCGUCUG